UGGCUCAGGAUGAACGCUGGCGGCGUGCCUAAUACAUGCAAGUCGAGCGAACGGACGAGAAGCUUGCUUCUCUGAUGUUAGCGGCGGACGGGUGAGUAACACGUGGAUAACCUACCUAUAAGACUGGGAUAACUUCGGGAAACCGGAGCUAAUACCGGAUAAUAUUUUGAACCGCAUGGUUCAAAAGUGAAAGACGGUCUUGCUGUCACUUAUAGAUGGAUCCGCGCUGCAUUAGCUAGUUGGUAAGGUAACGGCUUACCAAGGCAACGAUGCAUAGCCGACCUGAGAGGGUGAUCGGCCACACUGGAACUGAGACACGGUCCAGACUCCUACGGGAGGCAGCAGUAGGGAAUCUUCCGCAAUGGGCGAAAGCCUGACGGAGCAACGCCGCGUGAGUGAUGAAGGUCUUCGGAUCGUAAAACUCUGUUAUUAGGGAAGAACAUAUGUGUAAGUAACUGUGCACAUCUUGACGGUACCUAAUCAGAAAGCCACGGCUAACUACGUGCCAGCAGCCGCGGUAAUACGUAGGUGGCAAGCGUUAUCCGGAAUUAUUGGGCGUAAAGCGCGCGUAGGCGGUUUUUUAAGUCUGAUGUGAAAGCCCACGGCUCAACCGUGGAGGGUCAUUGGAAACUGGAAAACUUGAGUGCAGAAGAGGAAAGUGGAAUUCCAUGUGUAGCGGUGAAAUGCGCAGAGAUAUGGAGGAACACCAGUGGCGAAGGCGACUUUCUGGUCUGUAACUGACGCUGAUGUGCGAAAGCGUGGGGAUCAAACAGGAUUAGAUACCCUGGUAGUCCACGCCGUAAACGAUGAGUGCUAAGUGUUAGGGGGUUUCCGCCCCUUAGUGCUGCAGCUAACGCAUUAAGCACUCCGCCUGGGGAGUACGACCGCAAGGUUGAAACUCAAAGGAAUUGACGGGGACCCGCACAAGCGGUGGAGCAUGUGGUUUAAUUCGAAGCAACGCGAAGAACCUUACCAAAUCUUGACAUCCUUUGACAACUCUAGAGAUAGAGCCUUCCCCUUCGGGGGACAAAGUGA
Molecule: ribosomal RNA, 1035 nt
Filed under: Staphylococcus aureus
Lineage: Bacteria; Bacillati; Bacillota; Bacilli; Caryophanales; Staphylococcaceae
Description: bacterial SSU rRNA
Rfam family: Bacterial small subunit ribosomal RNA
Source: RNAcentral